CACACCGCCCGUCACACCAUGGGAGUUUGUUGCACCUUAGAAGCAGGUAGCUUAACCGCAAGGGGGGCGCUUGCCACGGUGUGGCCGAUGACUGGGGUG
This 99-nucleotide ribosomal RNA is filed under the name uncultured bacterium. Its description in RNAcentral is "partial 16S ribosomal RNA". It matches the Rfam family "Bacterial small subunit ribosomal RNA", at positions 1386 to 1482 of the family's 1533-position model. The record is from RNAcentral.